UGGGGAGAUUCCCGUGGGAAAUGGGA
RNAcentral lists this non-coding RNA (26 nucleotides) under Homo sapiens (human). The record is from RNAcentral. Lineage: Eukaryota; Metazoa; Chordata; Mammalia; Primates; Hominidae.